UACGUAGGGUGCAAGCGUUGUCCGGAAUUAUUGGGCGUAAAGAGUUCGUAGGCGGUUUGUCGCGUCUGAUGUGAAAACCCGAGGCUCAACCUCGGGCCUGCAGUGGGUACGGGCAGACUAGAGUGCGGUAGGGGAGAAUGGAAUUCCUGGUGUAGCGGUGGAAUGCGCAGAUAUCAGGAGGAACACCAAUGGCGAAGGCAGAUCUCUGGGCCGGAACUGACGCUGAGGAGCGAAAGCAUGGGGAGCGAACAGG
Molecule: ribosomal RNA, 253 nt
Filed under: uncultured bacterium
Lineage: Bacteria
Description: partial 16S ribosomal RNA
Rfam family: Bacterial small subunit ribosomal RNA
Source: RNAcentral